Long non-coding RNA from Canis lupus familiaris (dog), 3631 nucleotides. RefSeq lists it as uncharacterized. NCBI's taxonomy places the organism in Eukaryota, Metazoa, Chordata, Mammalia, Carnivora, Canidae. The record is from RefSeq and is a predicted model, not a curated record. The transcript has 2 exons.
CCUCCUCCCCUGCACUGCUGGCUCCUCCCUCCUCCUCGUGCUGGCUGGUGCUCACCGGCGCCUUCGUGACGUCUCCCCAAACCACCUCUUCCUUUCCUGCCCAUUUCUGCCGGCUCUUGAGAAGCUUCUAGAUGCCUCUUUGUUCCGCGACAUCCUCUCCUGUCGGAACACUGAAAGGAAACAGGCAGGGGAAACGGCCUGCCCGUCGCUGAACUGCGCGGGGGCCGGGGGGUAGCCCCGCUGCCAGAGGACGGAUGUUGAGGGUUGGGUGGAUUGUUUUAGAUUUCCUCAGCUUCGCUAGUGCGGGUUUGCGCUGCUCCGUCUCGCUCCGUGGCAUCUGGCCAGCAGCAGCACCUGUGCAACUCCCGCGGAAAACAGGUUUAAGGAUUCGGAUCCAAGACGUUUAGAAAGCUCCCCAGGGAACUGCGCUGUUUGGCCGAGUAGGGGAGUCGCGCUGUGACCCUCAAGGCCUGGGCGUCCCGGGGAGAAAGAGCUCCCGGGGUGGGGGGGGGCGCCCCUGAAGAGAACCGCUCGCACCCUCCUGGGGAGGGGUCACAACCCUAGCAGCGUUUGUAGAGUCCCGGCAGCCUCGCUGCUCCAAGUUAGGGACGUGGGGGCAGGUGCUCUAGCAUCACGACCCUGCAGCGGACGGAGGAGGCCUUCGUCUCCCUCCAGGUCAGCGGGGAUGCUGGUCCCCAAGUCCCUCCUGUGCUCACGGGCGGCCAGGGGCGCGGCCCCCUCCCCCCUCCCCCAGGGCGGCGUCAGGGCGGCACAGCCACGCCGGCUGCGGACAGGCUUGUGAGGGGGCACUUGGGGAAGGUGAACCCGUGUCCUCGGCUCGGCCUUCAAGGCCCUGCCAGGGCGUUACUCAGAGGCGGGGAUCCCCGGCCCGGGCUAAGGAAGCGGGAACCGUGACAAACUGCACGGUCCUGUCUGGCGUUUGGCGUUUGUCUCAUUAGCCCUCUUCAUGCUGUUAUUACAACGGACGGGGAAACAAACGGCAGAGCAAAAGGAGAACCCGUACCUGUUAUUUCUGAGUCUUCGCCACGACGCAAAGACAGGAGCCAUACCCAUUCUGUCUCACUAAUUCAGGCAGGGCUUCCUGCUGUCCUGCAGAAUACACGUGUCCAAAGGAACAUUCUACCGAAUGAAGCCUUACUGACGCCGUGCACACUAGCCCACAAGUGAGGGACGACAAUCUGCUUUGACGGGCGGGUCUCCCUGAAGUCACCCAGAUAGUGACAGAGCCAGUCCGUGGGGUCUCCCUCCCCACCACCCGCACCUGAAAACUGUAAGGAGAAGAACGCGAAUAAAGGAACCUGAACAGUUCUUCUGACUGUAAGAGCUUUGACCACCGGAAUACGGAGUCUCUGGAAGUGGCCACUGUCACGCAGACUGACAUCCUCCAGCGUCCCCAGGGCUGCUCGGUUCUGCCCCAAGGUCCCCAUCCCACAUGCACGCUGACCGCUGACGUCUGCCUUCUGCUUGUCCUGCUCCCAGCCCUUUGCCUUGCUUCCUUUAGGAAUGAAUAUGCUGCUGUUUUAGGAGACGAUUUCACUUUCCACCCUGUUGCUGAGCGAUCGUUAUUACCGAAGUUCAAGGUAAUACCUUACCUGAAACCCUCGGUGCCAGAUACACCACCUACUUUUUCUGGGGUUUAGCACACACGGUAGGUACGUAUACCAUAGGGUACCUCGGUUCCAUCCCCAAAACCAAUGUAUUAAUAUUUUUGUAGGGAAACAAUAUUCCUACUAAAUGGGAUGCAGGUUGUAAAUAGCGCAAGUCAGUUUAGAUACACUCUAGAUGCCACGUGACUUUUGUCACCAAACACACAGACCACUUGGGGUUUUAAGCCUUUGGGAUUUCAGAAUCGCAGAUAAAAGACUGUGGACCUGUGAGAUACGUGUAUGUGUAUCUCACAUAUUUCUCUAUGUAUAUAUAUAGGAUGCUUGGGAGGAAAAGCCUUUAUCUUAUUUUUUUUUUUUUUUUUUUUGAGGAAAAGCCUUUAAUACAGACUCUGCAUUAGAUGAAGGGAGACUCUUGCUUCUCACGCUCCUGACGCCCUGUGGCUCCUGCAGCCCCUGCGGCCCCCGGCCCGUCGGGCUCUUCUGCUCUGCCCGCCGCCUCCCUCCAUGGCUUGCCCUGCUUCCUUGCCUCUUUCCAGGCUUGGCUCAGAGACCCCUGGGAGCCCCUCCUGACCCCGGCGCACCUCCCGGGUCCUCGCCACGUCCCCUCGCCUGACGCCCUGUGGGCUCCUGGUUUCUUCCUUGCUUUCUUCCCUACGCGGCAGGCUCCGCAGAGAUGGGGACCUUGGCCUCAUCCAACCCCUGCUGCACCCCGACUUAGAACCGCGCCCGGCAGUGGGAGGCACUCAGUACAGGACAAAUGAAAAGAGGAAGAGAAUAUGAUUUUUGUCUCCAUAUACUUGGGAAAACACGCAAAGUCCACUCUGGUUUUGAAAACAGCCUCCUCCAGGUGCCAGAGCCGUGAGAGCAGCCAACUGACGCGCCCACCUGGGGAGGGAGGCUGGCAGAGGCCCGCCCUCCGCUCCUGAAGGAGAGUAGUGCCCGGGAAGGCCGGCGGCGUGUGGUCAAGGCAGGCCUCUGAGCGGAUGGGCCCCGGGACGGGAAGGAACCAGCCAGGCAAAAUUCCAGAAGAGCUCUCCAGACAGAAGGCGUCAGAGCAAGUUGAGAGCGGGAGGGGGGCCAGGCCUGGCAGGAGGGAGAGAGGGCAGUGGGCUGAAGCCCAGGGGGCAGGGGCAAGGAGCUGGGAGGGAAGGCGAGGCGCACAGGGCCCCUUCCCAGGCCCGCGAGGUGCCCCACACCCACCCCGAGGAGCAGUGGGGAUCGAUUUCUGUUUUGAAGGAAUCAUUCUUGCUUGUAUGUUCAAAGGUGGGGAGGAAAGGGAGGGAUCACGGAGACUAGUGAGGAGUCUAAACAGCGCUCUCAAGAAAAGCGGAUAAAUGGCUCUGAGGAGUUUGGCUUGACCAGUAAGUGUUUAGUAAAAUGGGGAAAGACUGGGGUAGAAACAAGGUGCUUGGCCUGAUUUUGGUUUCUAUUUUGCGAAUUCAGGGAGUGGGGGAAGGGAGUGAGAGUCAAGAGUUCUACUGGCUCUGAGGGCUUGGACCUCCAUGAGGGAGGUCAGGAUGGGGAAAUCAAUUUGGGGACCAUCAGCAUAUGAAGCCAAUUAAAGGCUAAGAAUGGAUGAGACGGGCCCCUGGGUGGCUCUUGGUUAGAUGUCUGCCUUCGGCUCAGGUCAGGAUCCCCGGGUCCUGGGAUGGAGCCCCCACAUCGGGCUCCCCGCUCAGUGGGGAGCCUGCAUCUCCCUCUCCCCCUGCCUACAGCUCCCUCUGCUUGUGUGCUCUCUGUGUCAAAUAAAUAAAAUCUUAAAAAUAAUAAUAACAAUAACAACGAUGAAACACCAGGAGAGAACUUGGAUACAGAAGAGAACAUUAGUGCACUUGAUACAAAGAAUACAUCAGACCAUUAAGACUCUUAACAACUAAUUUAUUUUAAAAUAGACAAACUAUUAAUUGUAGAAAAUAGUAACAUAGCAAUUUUAAAUGUACAGUUUUAACCAAUACAAAAAGCAAUAAAGCAUUAUCUGAAGAUAAUUAUUUAAGAAAUCUUAA